This is a non-coding RNA of Odocoileus virginianus texanus, 921 nucleotides long. NCBI's taxonomy places the organism in Eukaryota, Metazoa, Chordata, Mammalia, Artiodactyla, Cervidae. The record is from RefSeq and is a predicted model, not a curated record.
AGUCCCCCACUACCACAAAUUAUGCAGUCGAGUUUCCCACAUUUGGGGAAAUCGCAGGGGUCAGCACAUCCGGAGUGCAAUGGAUAAGCCUCGCCCUGGGAAAACCACCUUCGUGAUCAUGGUAUCUCCCCUUCCAGACAGGGAUGGGCUUUGUGAAGAGGUGAAACUGGAGAUGCUGAUAGGAAUACGAGCUGGGAGCCAUGAACCUCCAGCUAUGUUUUGGGCCCAGGAAAUUUACAGCUCCCUUGAAGGGGACUAUCGGCUCCUUGACCAGGCCUCAGCUUGCCUGCUGGGGAGCCCAUAGGUGUCUACACAAACUCGGAGAAAUGGAUAAGGAGGGCUUGCCACUCAAGCCAUACGACAGGCCAUAUGGUUCACUGUUUUGUCGCUUGCCAAGCCAUGAGCUGCACAGUGGAUAUUCCCCUUCGUCUCCAGAUCUACUCUGCUGCACCUCUUUCCAAGCUCCAUUGGCAGCAUCCGUCUUCAGCAACGGUGAACUGGAGGGCCUGGAAGAGUGGAACCCCAGAGAUCCCCAGCCUGAGAAGCAGAGGGAUUAGAAAUGGCUUGGAUCAGACAAACCGAAGCUUGAAUCUGGUUAACCAGCUGUGUGACUUUUGCCUCCUGCACCUAAUGGCCUGCGGCUUUGGAUGGGAUGGUGCCCUGUAGAGGCCAUCUGGUCCAGCCCUCUGCCUCAGUAAUGAACGUACACGGCCACCCUGGAGGAAAGGCUGUGUCUUGAAUACUUUGAAGACUGCCAUGCUGCAGGAACUCUCAGCCUGGGUCUGGAAUCCCUCCCCCACAACACAGCUCCUCUUUGGACCUGAUCCCACUGGGUGCCAGGUUGUGCUGGGUGCUGUGGAGAGAGCAGUGAGCCAAACUGACUCCACCCUGCUCACACGGGGCUCAGAGGCCAGGAGGGGA